AACGAACGCUGGCGGCAUGCCUAACACAUGCAAGUCGAACGAGACCUUCGGGUCUAGUGGCGCACGGGUGCGUAACGCGUGGGAACCUGCCCUUAGGUUCGGAAUAACUCCCCGAAAGGGGUGCUAAUACCGGAUAAUGUCUUCGGACCAAAGAUUUAUCGCCUUUGGAUGGGCCCGCGUUGGAUUAGCUAGUUGGUAGGGUAAAAGCCUACCAAGGCGACGAUCCAUAGCUGGUCUGAGAGGAUGAUCAGCCACACUGGGACUGAGACACGGCCCAGACUCCUACGGGGGGCAGCAGUGGGGAAUAUUGGACAAUGGGCGAAAGCCUGAUCCAGCAAUGCCGCGUGAGUGAUGAAGGCCUUAGGGUUGUAAAGCUCUUUUACCCGGGGUGAUAAUGACAGUACCGGGAGAAUAAGCUCCGGCUAACUCCGUG
This 433-nucleotide ribosomal RNA is filed under the name uncultured bacterium. RNAcentral describes it as "partial 16S ribosomal RNA". It matches the Rfam family "Bacterial small subunit ribosomal RNA", at positions 29 to 507 of the family's 1533-position model. The record is from RNAcentral.